This is a long non-coding RNA of Chenopodium quinoa (quinoa), 692 nucleotides long. RefSeq lists it as uncharacterized. NCBI's taxonomy places the organism in Eukaryota, Viridiplantae, Streptophyta, Magnoliopsida, Caryophyllales, Amaranthaceae. The transcript is spliced from 3 exons. The record is from RefSeq and is a predicted model, not a curated record.
AAUUACAAGUAGCCUAAAGUAAAGAUAAAAUACAUUAGACCCCUUGAUACUCUGAAAAGCUUCUACUUAAGCUUCAGUUCCUCACCCAAGGAACUUUCCUUUGAAGCUUCAAUUCUGGAGCUCCAGUUCCUUAUAUAAGGAACACGACUUGAUUGACUUCUUUAUCCUUCCAUGGCUAGCUUAGAUCUUGUUUCAUGCUCCCUUCUUACUCAAGAAUUUCCUAGCAUAAACCUGUCAUAAAUCAAAGCUAAAACCGAAGGUUAAACUUGUUAUAGGUUUGCUUAGGUUCCUUGAGUCAUCAUCAAAACAUAAGGUCAACAGUCUUCUUCUUUUCCUCCAUCGCGUUGUUCAGGUAUUCAAUCAUUAUUUCGAAGAAUUUGAAGAGGAAUCCCUGAGGGACAACUUUGUUGUUGUGUAUGAACUUCUUGAUGAAAUGAUGGACUUCGUUUACCCUCAAUACACUGAAGCCUUAAUCCUCAGUGAGUUCAUCAAAAUGAAUGCUUAUAAGAUGGAAGUUGUGUAGCGGCCACCCAUGACUGUGACAAAUGCAAUUUCCUGGCGCUGUGAAGGGAUUAAAUACAAGAGAAAUGAGAAACUGUAUCUUUUUCUUAUUCUUAGAGGCUACUAAUGACUUUGUGAAGUAUGACUGUAUGAUGCUUUACUCAUAGCCUCUAUUUUUUCGUUUUUCGUGA